AUUAUCUUAAUUACUAAACAAAAUAUUUAAUCACUAAUCCAGAUUUCUAACAUUAAUACGUAAAGGAUAGAUUUGCCAUUAAAAAAAUUUGAGUUCAGGGGAUAUUUGAUUUUGGUAUUUCACAACCUUUCUUUGUCUUUAUCGAAUAUGCUUAAAAUCAGCGUUCAUCUUUUUUGUUGAGCAAAUCAGGGUGGGCUAGAGAUUUUAUCUAGCUGAUAUUUAUGCCGGCGUGCCAUAGCCUCGACACAACCCGUAUUUUUUUAUUUUAUUUGAAGCAUGAUGACACAACCCAUAUAAGUGGGCUAAAGAUUUUGGUACAUCAAAGUGUAUCGCACAAUUGGACCGAGUCAAACCUAACUGCAGACUAAGAUGGGACUACAAAGAUCUAUCACUUUUUAUGCUCUUGUCGUACUUUCAGCUUGCGAUAGAAAUACUCGAUGUUUUACUAAAAUCAACACUAGUAAAAAAAUAAAGUUUGUGAAGAACUCCAUCAAAUCAACUAGGAAAGGAGGGACAACUGGUUGUUUAGGAUUAAGGGGUUUUUGAGGAAGAUUUGUAGUCUUGGAUUUGCCUACCUUCUAAUUUUAUUUCUGGGCGGAUUCUCCAAGAGGGAUUAGGGCUUCGUUGGAUUCUUCAGGCUCUAGAAUCCGCGGGAAUAGGAUGGACAAUAC
Molecule: long non-coding RNA, 671 nt
Organism: Papaver somniferum (opium poppy)
Lineage: Eukaryota; Viridiplantae; Streptophyta; Magnoliopsida; Ranunculales; Papaveraceae
Exons: 3
Source: RefSeq, a predicted model, not a curated record